Molecule: unclassified non-coding RNA, 427 nt
Filed under: Hevea brasiliensis (rubber tree)
Lineage: Eukaryota; Viridiplantae; Streptophyta; Magnoliopsida; Malpighiales; Euphorbiaceae
Source: RNAcentral
CGAUGACCUGCCUAUCUACUGUUGGUGGUUAGGCACCAUUUGUUGGUCCUCAGUUAUUAUCUUAUUAGUUCCCUAAAUAGAGUUUUCUCCCACUAAAUUAAAACAGACUGGAAACCUAACUUUCCAAUUUAGGUUGUGCCGAAAUCAUACAUUUUAUAGAAAAGUAGUGAUGAACACUUCUAAAACCCUACAGAACAAGUAACUAAUUAUGGCAAACAUCUUCACAAAGCCUAAGAAAAGCAUACUUUAGAGAGAGCUAUUCAUUAAAUUAAUAUUGUUAGAUGUCUUACAGCAAAGUGGAACUUUGGCAAAUAUGUCAAACCGAAAAUUAUGAACUCCAUUUUUAAUGCUAAUGCAGAUGAACUAGAGAUAUAUUAACUACAAAGAGAAGUAAAGAACAUAACGUCCAACUAGGGGUGUGCAAACG